RNAcentral lists this ribosomal RNA (253 nucleotides) under uncultured bacterium. RNAcentral describes it as "partial 16S ribosomal RNA". It matches the Rfam family "Bacterial small subunit ribosomal RNA", at positions 524 to 776 of the family's 1533-position model. The record is from RNAcentral.
UACGAGGGUCCCUAGCGUUGUUCGGAAUUAUUGGGCGUAAAGCGGGUGUAGGCGGCUAUUCAAGUCGGAUGUGAAAUCCCUGGGCUCAACCUAGGACGUGCAUUCGAUACUGUUUAGCUUGAGUACGGGAGAGGGUAGUAGAAUUCCUGGUGUAGUGGUGAAAUACGUAGAUAUCAGGAGGAAUACCGGUGGCGAAGGCGGCUACCUGGCCCAGUACUGACGCUCAGACCCGAAAGCGUGGGGAUCAAACAGG